UACGGAGGGUGCAAGCGUUAUCCGGAUUCACUGGGUUUAAAGGGAGCGCAGGCGGAUAUGUAAGUCAGUGGUGAAAGCCUCAAGCUCAACUUGGGAACUGCCAUUGAUACUAUAUAUCUUGAAUAUUGUUGAGGUAUGCGGAAUGGGUCAUGUAGCGGUGAAAUGCAUAGAUAUGACCCGGAACACCAAUUGCGAAGGCAGCAUGCUAAACAAAGAUUGACGCUGAGGCUCGAAAGCGUGGGGAUCAAACAGG
This 253-nucleotide ribosomal RNA is filed under the name uncultured bacterium. RNAcentral describes it as "partial 16S ribosomal RNA". It matches the Rfam family "Bacterial small subunit ribosomal RNA", at positions 524 to 776 of the family's 1533-position model. The record is from RNAcentral.